AAUAAUUUUAUAUUUAUAUAUUAAAAAAAAUAUUUUGGAAAGAUUUCACAAAAUAAAAACAAUAACUUAUAUUUCAAUAGCAUUUUACUCACUAUUGGGCUAAGAUUACCAUUAUAAUUCUACAAAAAUAAAAGAGCCCAAACCCUCAUUUUUCUAAUUAAGUAAACUUCUCCUAAAACCCUCCUACUGCCCUCUCCUUAUUACUCCUCUACUGCUUCCUCCUUUCCCCAUCCACAAUUCACGACACUCAAAAAAAAAAAAAAAAAAAAAUUUCGCUGCUGCCCCUUCGUUGCUGCUGGUGUCGCCGCCGCACUGCUGCUGCCGCCAGCGACCCGUCGCUGCUGCCCGAACCACCAGCCGGAAGGGACUUCGUAGAAGGUGACUUUUAGCCUUAAAGUGGCCAACCAAUUUGUGUACUCAAGAUUCAUCACAGGUUUUUGCAUAAACUGUCUUGCAUCAGGGUGAUGGGAUUUGAGUGGAGAGUUGGUUAACCAGUUAGCUUAUUUCAUAACACAGAUUGAAUUUUAUUUUGGUGUUGGUUCCAUUACUUCCUAUUUUAUUGGAUUUUGAAUAAGGGUCGUUAUGGUUCCAACUCGUAAGACUAUAUUGAGCUUUGACUUUCAGUUUUAAAACUCGUAUUCUUUUCAAAAAAAAAAUUAAUUUUCCGCUGCUAAUUUCUGAAACUAGCCUUAACGUUUGAACACGUGGCGGUAGCACUCCAAUAAUUCUCUUACAGGUUAUACAGGUCAUUACAGGCUGUGCAGGUUAUACAGGUUAUGUUGAUUAGUACAGGUUUUC
Long non-coding RNA from Chenopodium quinoa (quinoa), 798 nucleotides. RefSeq lists it as uncharacterized. The record is from RefSeq and is a predicted model, not a curated record. NCBI's taxonomy places the organism in Eukaryota, Viridiplantae, Streptophyta, Magnoliopsida, Caryophyllales, Amaranthaceae. The transcript is spliced from 3 exons.